UUCAAUAUACAGGAUAGCCCCG
Molecule: microRNA, 22 nt
Filed under: Caenorhabditis briggsae
Lineage: Eukaryota; Metazoa; Nematoda; Chromadorea; Rhabditida; Rhabditidae
Description: cbr-miR-4813
Source: miRBase by way of RNAcentral